AACGCGAAGAACCUUACCAAGGUUUGACAUGCAGGGAAAAGCCGUAGAGAUACGGUGUCCGUAAGGGCCCUGCACAGGUGGUGCAUGGCUGUCGUCAGCUCGUGUCGUGAGAUGUUGGGUUAAGUCCCGCAACGAGCGCAACCCUCGUUCUAUGUUGCCAGCGGAUAAUGCCGGGGACUCAUAGGAGACUGCCGGGGUCAACUCGGAGGAAGGUGGGGAUGACGUCAAGUCAUCAUGCCCCUUAUGUCUUGGGCUGCAAACAUGCUACAAUGGCCGGUACAGAGGGCUGCGAAACCGCAAGGUGGAGCGAAUCUCAAAAAGCCGGUCUCAGUUCGGAUUGGGGUCUGCAACUCGACCCCAUGAAGUCGGAGUCGCUAGUAAUCGCGAAUCAGCAACGUCGCGGUGAAUACGUUCCCGGGCCUUGUA
RNAcentral lists this ribosomal RNA (426 nucleotides) under uncultured Actinomycetes bacterium. RNAcentral describes it as "bacterial SSU rRNA". It matches the Rfam family "Bacterial small subunit ribosomal RNA", at positions 958 to 1385 of the family's 1533-position model. The record is from RNAcentral. Lineage: Bacteria; Bacillati; Actinomycetota; Actinomycetes.